UUGAAUUCUUGUUAAUGCAUUCUUUAACCAGAGUUUCUCACUCACUGCCCUUUUAUAUUUGAUAUCCUUUAUUACUAAAUAUCCCUAAUAUUUAUUAUCUCGUUUCCUGCACAUUAAUGAAAUCAUUUUAAACAGAUGGUGUUAAGGCAAGGGGACUUAAAAUUUUGUCAUCCAAGUCCUAUUAACUGAAGACCAAAUAAUGGAAGCAACAUAAUAAAACUGUUGCUAACAUGGGGCACAUUCUUCGGUUUAUUAGGACUAAUCAGUACAACUAGAAUAGGACCAUGAAUAAGUUGUUAAAAUUCAGGACUCCUCUUGUCCCAGAACCCCCCACCAUUAAUUUUGUGCUCUUUUCCUGAGCCCAAAUACUUCAACAGAAAAACUAAGAAAAUACCAAAGAUCACUAAUUCAGAACCCAGAAUAAUUCUAAUUCAGACUAUCAAACACUAGGCACUAAACUGUAAAGACAUAUAUCCUGCCAGGUAUGGUGGUGCAUGCCUUAAUCUCAGAGGCUUGGGAGACUGAGCCAGGAGGAUCACUAGUUCAAAGUCAGCCUCAGAACUCAGGGAG
Molecule: long non-coding RNA, 570 nt
Filed under: Marmota monax (woodchuck)
Lineage: Eukaryota; Metazoa; Chordata; Mammalia; Rodentia; Sciuridae
Source: RNAcentral